ACAUGCAAGUCGAGCGCCGUAGCAAUACGGAGCGGCAGACGGGAGAGUAACACGUGGGAACGUACCCUUUGGUUCGGAACAACCCAGGGAAACUUGGGCUAAUACCGGAUAAGCCCUUACGGGGAAAGAUUCAUCGCCGAAGGAUCGGCCCGCGUCUGAUUAGCUAGUUGGUGGGGUAAUGGCCCACCAAGGCGACGAUCAGUAGCUGGUCUGAGAGGAUGAUCAGCCUCACUGGGACUGAGACACGGCCCAGACUCCUACGGGAGGCAGCAGUGGGGAAUAUUGGACAAUGGGCGCAAGCCUGAUCCAGCCAUGCCGCGUGGGUGAUGAAGGCCCUAGGGUUGUAAAGCCCUUUCGGCGGGGAAGAUAAUGACGGUACCCGCAGAAGAAGCCCCGGCUAACUUCGUGCCAGCAGCCGCGGUAAUACGAAGGGGGCUAGCGUUGCUCGGAAUCACUGGGCGUAAAGCGCACGUAGGCGGAUUGUUAAGUCAGGGGUGAAAUCCUGGAGCUCAACUCCAGAACUGCCUUUGAUACUGGCGAUCUU
Molecule: ribosomal RNA, 544 nt
Filed under: uncultured bacterium
Lineage: Bacteria
Description: bacterial SSU rRNA
Rfam family: Bacterial small subunit ribosomal RNA
Source: RNAcentral